Contarinia nasturtii (swede midge) is the source of this 73-nucleotide non-coding RNA. The record is from the annotation of a RefSeq genome assembly. Lineage: Eukaryota; Metazoa; Arthropoda; Insecta; Diptera; Cecidomyiidae.
CCUUCGGUAGCUCAGUUGGUAGAGCAGUGGACUGUAGAUCCAUUUGUCAUUGGUUCGACUCCGAUUCGAAGGA